Rattus norvegicus (Norway rat) is the source of this 4600-nucleotide non-coding RNA. The record is from RefSeq and is a predicted model, not a curated record. Lineage: Eukaryota; Metazoa; Chordata; Mammalia; Rodentia; Muridae.
UCCGGCUCUCUCUCUCCCACUUUCUCCCCGUCCCUCUCUCCACAUGUUCCCACGGGUUCGCAGCCGGUCUCUCUUUUUUCCCCUUCCCCCCCUUUCUGUACUCUGUGCUGCACUCUCUUUCUCUGCCCUCAUGGCUCUGCUUCUGUCUGUCUGCCUGUCUACAUGUCCACUCCUCGGCCUCUACCCCAUUUCAAGGUCCUCACUCCUCUCCCUUCGCCCAGUAAACACCCUUUAUACCAGAUCUCCCUUACACUCUGUCAUGGUGUAGGAUGCAAGGCUUAACCAACUACACAGCCAAUAUUUUGCCUUUCGCUGGGUGUGUGCCUAAGGUCAGACUCGCCUCUUUCCCCUCCUUUCCACCUCUUUAAGAAAAAGAUGUCUGCCUUCCAUAGUCUCGCCCUUCUGGCUGCAAAGGAUGCUGGGAAGUGUAGUCUUUUAUUAGGAAACUAACUAGGAUAAGGGAGGAUAUGGCAGGAAUAUAGGGCACUAUUGCUCAUUCUUGCCCCAGGCUGCUCCGUGACUGGACUGGGAAAGCUCUGCUAUCUUCUCUGGUAAGUAAGUGGAGCCUGUGCCUGAUCCGAGAAAUGCUGACUAGGAAAGGCCUAGGGCAUUGAAGGAAGUCAGAGAGGCAGGAGAAGGAAGGAGAGGAAGAACUUACAGAAUUCAGGCAAGAGGGGCAGUUUUGGCAGCUGGGAAAGGGUGGAUCAUGUGAGAGACCCAUGAUUUCCGAGACGUUUGGAGAAGUAACUUAAUAAAAGACGAAGUCUUUGGCACUAAGAUGGGACAUCCUGGAUUAACGCUGUGGGACACAGGCUGAUGUGGAACCUGAUUGGGAGUCAGAAGCUUUGAUAGAUAAACCGUGUGUGUGUGUGUGUGUGUGUGUGUGUGUGUGUGUGUGUGUGUGUGUGUGUGUGUGUGUGUGUGUUUAUUCUGCAGAAGUCACUCAGUGGCUAAAUCUCUUUCAUUUCUAAUAUUCAAGAAUGGAAAGAUAUUGCACGUCUAGGCCCGCUGUUCCCCUCAGAUGCUCAUUUUACUUUUAGACCUGCUUCUGAAGGUACCUGGCUAAUCACAUUAAAUAUGAAGUUCAAAAGCCAAGUGCAUCGAGUUGCCCUUGUGAUCCAGAGCUGGGGAGGUGGGGCCAGGUCAGUUUGUGAAGCUCACUGGCAAGCCAACCUAGCUUGUAGACAGGCAGAAUGAUUCAGACAAACAAACAAAAAAAGGCAGUUCGGGCAGUUGAGGAUGUGGGGUAAGGGGAUCAGUCAUCCAUUGCUGAUGGGACUGCAAACUUGUACAACCACGAUGAAAAUCAGUGUGGUGGUUCCCAGGAAGCCGGGAAUGGAUCUAUCUCAAGAUCAAACUAUGUCACUCUUGGACGUAUAUCCAAAGGAGUCUAUGGCCUACUACAGAGACACUCGCUCAACUGUGCUCAAUGCUCUUCUACUCAAAACAGUCGGAACUCGCAAACAUCCUCGAUGCCCAUCAACAGAGGACUAUUAAUCAGGAACGUGUGGUACAUUUACACAGUGGAAUAUUAUUUAGUCAUUAAAAGUUGAAUCGGAUACUUUACAGGAAUAUAGAUGGAGCUAGGAACACAAUCCUCCCAAGCGAGACAACCCAGACCGGGAAAGACAAAUGUGGUAUAUGCAUUCCCUGAUGUGUGGAUGUUAGCUUUUAGUCUCGGAAGGCAUGGUGCUACCUGAAUACUAGAGAGGUUAGGAUAAGGAACACGGUAGGAGGGAAGGACCAUGCGAGGAAGAGGAAAUAGAAUAUAUAUAGCUGGAGAAAUGGGGGUCAAUGGAGACUGGAAUAGGAGUAUCAGAUCUCCAUGGGGGAGAAGGGAGGUGUAAGGGAGGAACUUUGGGAGGGACAGGCAACACUAGAAGCCAUCUCUGAGAGCUCAUAUGGAAACCUGCUACAGUAGAAGGUUCUUUAAAUAUAUACAUAGAUGGAAGAAAUCUAAAUCUGUAGCAGGGCAAAGGUUUCUUCAUCUUGCCGUGGCUGGAGCCGUCUCUUGUUUAAACUGGAACUUACUCCUUCCCCUUUCUCACUCCAUGAAAAGUCCCUGAGGACAGCACCCAACCCUGUUCUAGAAACUCCGGGUUAAAGUGCCCCAGCUGACUGCGUGUUCUCAGCUCUUGUUAAACUGCUAGCUUGCUCCCCCUUGCAAAUGCCAACCAGGCAUUUUUCUCUUUUUCUCUGCUCUUUGACUUAAAAAAAAAAAGUAAUUCCCUGUAAUAUGCAUUUGGGGCUGCUCUGGGAGAAGUGGUUUUUUGUUUUUCUCUCCAGGCAGUCACUGGCUGGCUCAAUACAGACUUUCAAUGUAAACUUUGGUCAUGCCGAAUGGUUUUGGGAUCUCUACUCCAAACAAAUAGAGUUGCCAAAAGAUGGGGGAGGCAAAAACCUCAACUAGACAUCUCUGGACACCAAAUGAAACCUCCAGUUAGGAAUGGGUUACGUCUGAGUCUGAUUAAGUUUUUGGCCAAAGGGUCCCAGUGGAAACCUGAAAACAACUCAAGUGAUUGCUGGGGCUUCUGGUUGUCUCCCACAAACUGACGGUAAGUCUCUCUUGGUAAACGCCAAAUGAAAAUAUCUCAUUGAAUACAGAGAAGCUAGUCCCUAACUAGAUCCUUCACCCUUAGGGAUUAGCGUUCAUGGUACUGGAAAGUACUCUGCAUACUACUAGAGAACAGUAAGCACUAACCCUGCUAUGAACCCUACAGUCUACAAUGGUGACCUGCCUGCAGGAUAAACGGGUAUGAGGCACAGAUGUUGAAGGAAAAACCAACCACUAGCUGAUUGGUUUCAAGGCCCACACCACGAAAUGGAUCCAUGUUGACACUGCUCUAGUGACCAAGAACCUAAAAUUAGAGAGGCCACAGACCUAGGAGAAAACCAAAUACUAUUGUUCUGUCAAGAGAACACAGCAAGAACAUGACUCUUAACAUUCAGCUGCACUCAUAGGUCAACGUCUCAGUCAGCCAUCAUCAGAGAAGCUUCCUUCUGUAAUGGAUGGCAGCAAAUACAACUGGGCAGUGUGCAAAGAGUAAAGAGCCUUGAGACAUUCAGCCCUAACUGGUGGGCUCCAUUAAACUCCUUCCUUUGGGGCUCAGGGAAGAAGUGGAAAGAGUAAGAGCUAGAGAGGAUGGAGGACACCGAGGAAACAAGGCCUUCCAGACACAACAGGACCGACACAGGAACUCACAGAGACUUGACCGACACAGGAACUCGCAGAGACUUGACAUCGUGCACAGGGCCUGCACAGCUCUAAACCAGGUCCCAGCACUGAGAAGAAGUGGUCUCACAUCCCUGACCAAGACGCUAUCUCCAAUUAACAACUGCUCCAAAGGAAAAUCCAAUAGAGUCUCACUGGGUAUAUAAGCCACACUUGAGAACAGGCCCCAUGCCCAACAGUAAACAGCCAGCACCAAAGGAACUCAAUGGUGUUUUAUAGAUUUUUUUUGUCUCAUAUUGCCUUGACUAGUCUUUUUUUUUUUUUUAAACUUAUUGGUCUUUGCUUGUAGGUUAUGGUUUCCGAAUUUGUAUUUUUAUGGCAUAUCUCUGUGUGUGUCUGCGUGUGCAUUUUUCAUGUUCUUUGUCUGUUUCUUUCUUGGUUUGCUGGCUAAUUUUGUUUUAUUCUUGUCUGUUUUUUUUUAUUUGUCUCUUUGUUUUCUUCAGAGAGAAAGAAACAAGGUGUUGAGUUGGGAGGGUCUGGGAGAAGUGGAAGGGGAGCUGGAGUCAGAGUAUGUUGCAUGAAAAUAACUUCAUUUUCAGUAAAUAAAAUAAGAGGGGACUGCGUACAAAGAACAGCAUCCAGUGUUGUCUUCUAGUCUUUACAUGCAUGUGGACAUACGUGAUGCAUACGUGCAUAUCACACACACACACACACACACACACACAAAGGGUAGACUCACAAAGUGUUGUUUGUUGACUCUAUAACUCAAUAGAAAACAUUUAAAUGUGGUCUUUUUUUUUUUUUUGCAUUAGUUUCAGAUCCACCCUCUUCCUUACCUGACGAACUUUGCGCCCCUUUUUAUAUAGUUCAAGAAAAGGAAAAUAAGCAGAUAUACAUUUCACGACUAGUGCGUGACUGACUGUAAGCUAACAUCCCACUACAUGCCAGCGUCCUUCAGCCUCAUGCAGCCUUCUUGGCCGUAAUGAGGAAGUGAAAUUGCAAAUGGAUUGCAAAUGAAGAAAUCUCACCCAGGGGUGAUUUCCUCUUGGGCUACCAAUUAGGCUGUACAGACUGUGGUGCCAGGGGAAGGCCAGAACUUGUCAUGGAAGGUGAAAGCUGGGAUCCAUUGAACUGUUUGCUUGGAUGACAUGUAGACUUCCAAACAAAGGGUUUGGCAAAACGGCUUAAUGAGUAGAGCGACUUGCUGUCAAGCAUGAUGACCUGGGUUUCCUUGCCAAAGCAUGAUAACCUGGGUUUCCUCGCCAGAACAUAGACGCUGGAAGAAGAGAACCGACUUCUGCAAGCUGUCACCCUACCACACACUCGUUUAUAAACAAGUGCAUAAGUUACUGUAAAAAUUCAAAUUAAAGUCAUUCAUGAUCACCUGUGUUUUUUUCUGAUUCUCUCAAUCCUUAUUGGGGAGGAAAA